This 500-nucleotide ribosomal RNA is filed under the name uncultured Olivibacter sp. RNAcentral's name for it is "partial 16S ribosomal RNA". The record is from RNAcentral. Lineage: Bacteria; Pseudomonadati; Bacteroidota; Sphingobacteriia; Sphingobacteriales; Sphingobacteriaceae.
CACGGAGUUAGCCGAUCCUUAUUCUCACGGUACAUUCAGCCCGGUAUACAUACCGGGGGUUAUUCCCGUGCAAAAGCAGUUUACAACCCGUAGGGCCGUCUUCCUGCACGCGGCAUGGCUGGUUCAGGGUUCCCCCCAUUGACCAAUAUUCCUUACUGCUGCCUCCCGUAGAGUCUGGUCCGUGUCUCAGUACCAGUGUGGGGGUUUCUCCUCUCAGAGCCCCUAGACAUCGUCGCCUUGGUGGGCCGUUACCCCGCCAACCAGCUAAUGUCACGCGAGCCCAUCCGUCCCCUAUGAAUAUUUAAAUGAAGGCCCAUGCGGACCUGCAUUCUCAUGCGGUAUUAAUCCGGAUUUCUCCGGGCUAUCCCCCUGGGACGGGCAGGUUGCUCACGCGUUACGCACCCGUGCGCCACUCUCACGGGGACCGAAGCCCCCGAUCCCGUUCGACUUGCAUGUAUUAGGCCUGCCGCUAGCGUUCAUCCUGAGCCAGGAUCAAACUC